This 478-nucleotide ribosomal RNA is filed under the name uncultured bacterium. RNAcentral's name for it is "partial 16S ribosomal RNA". It matches the Rfam family "Bacterial small subunit ribosomal RNA", at positions 28 to 507 of the family's 1533-position model. The record is from RNAcentral.
GAUGAACGCUGGCGGCGUGCUUAACACAUGCAAGUCGAACGGGAAACCUUUUAUUGAAGCUUCGGCAGAUUUAGCUGGUUUCUAGUGGCGGACGGGUGAGUAACGCGUGGGUAACCUGCCCCAUACAGGGGGAUAACAACCAGAAAUGGUUGCUAAUACCGCAUAAGCGCACAGGGCCGCAUGGUCCGGUGUGAAAAACUCCGGUGGUAUAGGAUGGACCCGCGUUGGAUUAGCCAGUUGGCAGGGUAACGGCCUACCAAAGCAACGAUCCAUAGCCGGCCUGAGAGGGUGAACGGCCACAUUGGGACUGAGACACGGCCCAGACUCCUACGGGAGGCAGCAGUGGGGAAUAUUGCACAAUGGGGGAAACCCUGAUGCAGCGACGCCGCGUGAAGGAAGAAGUAUCUCGGUAUGUAAACUUCUAUCAGCAGGGAAGAUAGUGACGGUACCUGACUAAGAAGCCCCGGCUAACUACGUG